Molecule: long non-coding RNA, 758 nt
Organism: Apodemus sylvaticus (European woodmouse)
Lineage: Eukaryota; Metazoa; Chordata; Mammalia; Rodentia; Muridae
Exons: 3
Source: RefSeq, a predicted model, not a curated record
UUGUGGUUCCGGGCGGUUCUAGAAUAACGCAGCCCGAAUCUUCCAGGAAGCCACCGCCUUGCAGUGCCCACUACCCGGUGGUGGCGACCUUACCGCGAUCGCCCCUCCAGCCGCACCUGUCUGAGUGCACCGCGCCACAUCCGGUGCACCCGAGCCAAGGCCUGGGAGACCGAAAUAGAAGCCGAAAUAUGAAAUUCCUUGUUGAUAAUAGUCACUCCACCUUGUUACAUACCUACGGAGAAGAGCAUGCAGCAGGCUUUUGAGAUGUAACUCCGUCCACCAGAUAUAGAAGGCAGCAAAAGGCCCCGCUGGAAGGAAGCCCCGUGAGGGGUCUUCAUCAUGAGCUCGGUCGCUCACGGUCCUCACUGAGAACCCGGACCACACGCCAUGCCUUUCCAUUGGCUCCCAUCCUCAAGGUCCGGAGGGUCUCUGUGACGCUGCUGCUGGGACGAAGGGGUACAGGUCCCCCCCACAAGACGUGCCAUGUGUAAUUUAGAACUUAGGAGCUCUCCAUCCUUUGAGGCCCGGGGAUUGAACUCAAAUCAUCAGCCUUAGCCGCAGACUCCCUUUUGCUGAACCAACUCGCUGGCCCUGUUUUGGGGCUUUACAAUUUUAUUUUUACUGUGGGGCUUGUGCCUUCCUCUGCUGGGGUGGGGCUGUGGCAGCCCGUGUUAGCUUGUGUCCUUUUCAUCUUCCCUUCUCCGACCCUUUAGUCAUCCGCUAGCCUGUUCUGUUCAUAAAAUGACUGUGCGAAUGAA